This 274-nucleotide unclassified non-coding RNA is filed under the name Hevea brasiliensis (rubber tree). Lineage: Eukaryota; Viridiplantae; Streptophyta; Magnoliopsida; Malpighiales; Euphorbiaceae. The record is from RNAcentral.
AGCAACCAACUCUACAGCUAUUGUGAGUCGCUUUCUCUGCUCAGUUGACAAACCAUCCACCCCCGGAAGGCCUACUAUUGAAUUCCUAAGUGGUUUCAGUUCAACCAACUCCAUCACCUCCUCAACAAACAUCUUUCUAGUUUCAGUCUUAAUUUCCUUAGAAAGACGCAACCAGGCAGAGUACAGGAGGGAUUCAUAGACGGUAACAUGUGGAGAAUGGAUAUCAUUCUGCUCACAAUAACCACUAAUCCGAGCAAAAGUUUCUUGCUUCUUU